GACAGAGGCCCCGAGCGUUAAUCGGAAUUACUGGGCUUAAAGGGUGCGUAGGCUGAUCCGCAAGUGCUCCGUGAAAUCCCCCGGCUCAACCGGGGAACAGCGAGGCAUACUGCGGAUCUUGAGGCAGGUAGGCGCCGAGGGAACAGUAGGUGGAGCGGUGAAAUGCGUAGAUAUCUACUGGAACGCCGAUGGUGAAGACGCUCGGCUGGGCCUGUCCUGACGCUGAGGCACGAAAGCGUGGGGAGCAAACAGG
Molecule: ribosomal RNA, 253 nt
Filed under: uncultured bacterium
Lineage: Bacteria
Description: partial 16S ribosomal RNA
Rfam family: Bacterial small subunit ribosomal RNA
Source: RNAcentral